AUGGUUCUCCUCCCAAAAACACAUGCACCAACCUCGCCCGAUGCUUUUCGACCGAUCUCACUACAAAACUGCACUCCAAAAGCUGUAGCUAAGGUUCUCACAAACAGAGUAAAACCACUCAUCCCGCUUCUCAUACACUAUGAUCAAACCGGUUUCCUUCACGGACGCAACAUCGCCGAAAAUUUCAUUUAUGCUGCUGACAUCCUCAGCGCUUGCCACACAAGAAAAGCCCCGACUAUGGUCCUCAAGCUUGAUUUCAGGAAAGCUUUUGAUUCCAUUUUCUGGUCCUCUCUUAUUCAAAUCCUACAAGCACGGGGUUUCCCUCCCAUCUUCUGUUCAUGGGUCCAAAACAUCUUACACACUGGCAAAACGGUUGUUCUCCUAAAUGGCAAUCCAGGAUCCUGGAUCCAAUGUAGGUGUGGCCUCCGGCAAGGUGAUCCCUUCUCGCCAUACUUGUUCAUCAUCGUUGCAGAUGUUCUUCAAAGAUUAAUCGCCAAGGCUUUCCAAACAAACGAAUUAUGCCACCCGCUUCGACCAAACAACCACCAGUGA
RNAcentral lists this ribosomal RNA (552 nucleotides) under Triticum aestivum (bread wheat). RNAcentral describes it as "partial small subunit ribosomal RNA". Lineage: Eukaryota; Viridiplantae; Streptophyta; Magnoliopsida; Poales; Poaceae. The record is from RNAcentral.